Molecule: ribosomal RNA, 764 nt
Filed under: uncultured Alphaproteobacteria bacterium
Lineage: Bacteria; Pseudomonadati; Pseudomonadota; Alphaproteobacteria
Description: bacterial SSU rRNA
Rfam family: Bacterial small subunit ribosomal RNA
Source: RNAcentral
GCCGCGUGAGUGAAGAAGGCCCUUGGGUUGUAAAGCUCUUUCGUCGGGGAAGAAAAUGACUGUACCCGAAUAAGAAGGUCCGGCUAACUUCGUGCCAGCAGCCGCGGUAAUACGAAGGGACCUAGCGUAGUUCGGAUUUACUGGGCUUAAAGAGUUCGUAGGUGGUUGAAAAAGUUGGUGGUGAAAUCCCAGAGCUUAACUCUGGAACUGCCAUCAAAACUUUUCAGCUAGAGUAUGAUAGAGGAAAGCAGAAUUUCUAGUGUAGAGGUGAAAUUCGUAGAUAUUAGAAAGAAUACCAAUUGCGAAGGCAGCUUUCUGGAUCAUUACUGACACUGAGGAACGAAAGCAUGGGUAGCGAAGAGGAUUAGAUACCCUCGUAGUCCAUGCCGUAAACGAUGUGUGUUAGACGUUGGAAAUUUAUUUUCAGUGUCGCAGCGAAAGCGAUAAACACACCGCCUGGGGAGUACGACCGCAAGGUUAAAACUCAAAUGAAUUGACGGGGACCCGCACAAGUAGUGGAGCAUGUGGUUUAAUUCGAAGAUACGCGCAGAACCUUACCAACACUUGACAUGUUCGUCGCGACUCUAAGAGAUUAGAGUUUUCGGUUCGGCCGGACGAAACACAGGUGCUGCAUGGCUGUCGUCAGCUCGUGUCGUGAGAUGUUGGGUUAAGUCCCGCAACGAGCGCAACCCUCACUUUUAGUUGCCAUCAUUAAGUUGGGCACUCUGAAAGAACUGCCAGUGAUAAGCUGGANGAAGGUGGGG